AGGAACGUAGCUCAAUGGUAGAGCAUGUGCUUCGGAUGCAAAAGAGCCAAGGUUCAAUCCUCGGCGUCUCCA
Podarcis lilfordi (Lilford's wall lizard) is the source of this 72-nucleotide non-coding RNA. NCBI's taxonomy places the organism in Eukaryota, Metazoa, Chordata, Lepidosauria, Squamata, Lacertidae. The record is from the annotation of a GenBank genome assembly.